This is a non-coding RNA of Podarcis lilfordi (Lilford's wall lizard), 74 nucleotides long. Lineage: Eukaryota; Metazoa; Chordata; Lepidosauria; Squamata; Lacertidae. The record is from the annotation of a GenBank genome assembly.
GCUUGGGUAGCUCAGCUGGUUACAGCAUGGUGCUGAUAAUGCCAAGGUUGCAGGUUCGAUCCCCGUAUGGGGCA